Molecule: ribosomal RNA, 503 nt
Filed under: uncultured bacterium
Lineage: Bacteria
Description: partial 16S ribosomal RNA
Rfam family: Bacterial small subunit ribosomal RNA
Source: RNAcentral
AACGAACGCUGGCGGCGUGCCUAACACAUGCAAGUCGAACGAGAAAGGGGCUUCGGCUCCGAGUAAAGUGGCGCACGGGUGAGUAACACGUGGGUAACCUGCCUCUAAGAUUGGGAUAACUCGUCGAAAGAUGAGCUAAUACCGAAUAAGACCACAGUUCCCGCGGGAACAGGGGUCAAAGGUAGCCUCUGCUUGCAAGCUAUCACUUAGAGAUGGGCCUGCGCACCAUUAGCUAGUUGGUAGGGUAACGGCCUACCAAGGCAAAGAUGGUUAGCUGGUCUGAGAGGAUGAUCAGCCACACUGGAACUGAGACACGGUCCAGACUCCUACGGGAGGCAGCAGUGGGGAAUAUUGCGCAAUGGGCGAAAGCUUGACGCAGCAACGCCGCGUGAGUGAUGAAGGCCUUCGGGUCGUAAAGCUCUGGCGGGAGGAACGAAUGCUCCUGAGGUUAACAGCCUCGGGAGGUGACGGUACCUUCAAAGGAAGCACCGGCUAACUCUGUG